Long non-coding RNA from Elgaria multicarinata webbii, 1973 nucleotides. RefSeq lists it as uncharacterized. The transcript has 2 exons. NCBI's taxonomy places the organism in Eukaryota, Metazoa, Chordata, Lepidosauria, Squamata, Anguidae. The record is from RefSeq and is a predicted model, not a curated record.
GGAAUUUUAGCUGGUUCUUUUGCUAUGCCCAUAGGUAUGAGAAAAUGGCCUAUCAUCCUUAGCUAUAGUUCAUAAAGUUCAUGGCUUCCUGUUCCUUUAAACCUUGUUUUUAAUGCUGCAAUUGCUUUUGCUUUUAGAGUUAAGUUGAUGCUGAAACUAUGUGACAACAUAGGCGUUGUCCACCCCGGCAGUCAGAGGGUGGAGGAUGCCUGCAAGGAAAGAUAACCAAGAAAAUAACAGAUAGAGAUGUUUUUCUGUAACUGUGAUAUCUUCUAGUCAACGAAGCACUCAUACUCUGUACAUGCCUAAAUGCUUAGCUUCUUAUUGGUUGUUGCAUUUUCAGAACUGUAUUAUGAUUGGUGAGAAAGUUCUGCCAUGGUAUCUAAGGGGAACUGACUCUAUAAAUAUGUUGACAUUUCCUGAAAUUAUUGGGCAGUUUCCUCAGACUGCCACCUUGCAGCGCUGCUCGUAAUAAACCUUCUAAGGAGAGAGAAAUUGUGUCUUGAGAGUCUUUGACCACCACUCAGCGAACCACACAGGAACCCGUGGUUUCGGGUUCCACCACAAUUUGGCGACGAGGAUGGGAUGAGUGGUACACUGGAGAGCCUCUGCUCAUGGAGACCUGACACAGGAAAUCCUCCAACGUGCGCACAGAUCAGACUAUUAGUUCAACUCCAAAGAAAAAUGAGAAACAAGCAACUGCUUCCAGCUGAUGUUCCAUGUCAUCAUUUCCAACCAAGAGAUGCAGUGUUCAUAAAAGUCCAUAAAAAGCCCAAUUCGUUGGCUCCUACUUAGGACGGGCCUUGUAUUGUGUUGCUGAACACACACACCUGGAUACAUGCAGCCGCCCAUGUGAAAAAGCUAAAUCCAGGAUGCCAGACAGAUGAUCCAGAUGAUCCAGUUGCACUAGAAAGUUACUCAGACCUGAUUGAGAUGUUAAAGGAUGAAAGAAGCUGCCAGGAGGAAGCCAAGAGAGCCCCCUGCACAUGCUAAGCGACCAAGUGUCCAGUGGAGAGAGCGAGUUGAGGCUGAAGAGCAGGAACUCCCCUCCACGGAACGACAUCUGGUCAGUCAACAAGAUCAGCUGUCCUUUUAACCUCAAGUCAAGAGUUUCUGAGUUAACGAGGCAUAAUAACCCUCCAACGAAAUCUGGAUGCUCUAAGAGACAUUCAGUGAAGAGAAGAUAUUAAGACAACGCCGUUACAACUACUUUGUGUGUUUUUAAUCUCUAUAGUUCUCUGAAUUGUAAAAAUGAAAUUUGAGUGUGUGUUAUUUCUUAUUAUACAAGCCCUGCCUUGCAUUGCAAUCCAAAAAAGAGUCUCAAAAGCAUCCCAUGACUUGAGCAGGUAAAAAAAAAAAAAAAAAAGUGUUUAGUUGCAUUAUUAAGCAAAGAACAAAAGAGUGAAGAUUAGAGCUUUAAUAGAGAAUGGUUUUAUGGCUAUGGGCAAAGCAACGACCAUCAGGAGGGAAUCUGUCGCGGAAUUUUAGCUGGUUCUUUUGCUAUGCCCAUAGGUAUGAGAAAAUGGCCUAUCAUCCUUAGCUAUAGUUCAUAAAGUUCAUGGCUUCCUGUUCCUUUAAACCUUGUUUUUAAUGCUGCAAUUGCUUUUGCUUUUAGAGUUAAGUUGAUGCUGAAACUAUGUGACAACAUAGGCGUUGUCCACCCCGGCAGUCAGAGGGUGGAGGAUGCCUGCAAGGAAAGAUAACCAAGAAAAUAACAGAUAGAGAUGUUUUUCUGUAACUGUGAUAUCUUCUAGUCAACGAAGCACUCAUACUCUGUACAUGCCUAAAUGCUUAGCUUCUUAUUGGUUGUUGCAUUUUCAGAACUGUAUUAUGAUUGGUGAGAAAGUUCUGCCAUGGUAUCUAAGGGGAACUGACUCUAUAAAUAUGUUGACAUUUCCUGAAAUUAUUGGGCAGUUUCCUCAGACUGCCACCUUGCAGCGCUGCUCGUAAUAAACCUUCUAAGGAGAGAGAAA